RNAcentral lists this ribosomal RNA (465 nucleotides) under uncultured bacterium. RNAcentral describes it as "partial 16S ribosomal RNA". It matches the Rfam family "Bacterial small subunit ribosomal RNA", at positions 338 to 795 of the family's 1533-position model. The record is from RNAcentral.
CCUACGGGAGGCUGCAGUGGGGAAUAUUGCGCAAUGGGCGAAAGCCUGACGCAGCGACGCCGCGUGAGGGAUGAAGGUCUUCGGAUCGUAAACCUCUGUCAGCAGGGAAGAACGGUCACUGUGCUAAUCAGCAGUGAAUUGACGGUACCUGCAAAGGAAGCACCGGCUAACUCCGUGCCAGCAGCCGCGGUAAUACGGAGGGUGCGAGCGUUAAUCGGAAUUACUGGGCGUAAAGCGCUCGUAGGCGGGAUGUCAAGUCAAGGGUGAAAUCCCCGGGCUCAACGUGGGAACUGCCUUUGAAACUGGCAAACUGGAGUGUGUGAGAGGAUAGUGGAAUGCCAGGUGUAGGAGUGAAAUCCGUAGAUAUCUGGAAGAACAUCAGUGGCGAAGGCGACUAUCUGGAACAUAACUGACGCUGAGGAGCGAAAGCGUGGGUAGCAAACAGGAUUAGAUACCCCAGUAGUC